UUUUUUUCUUCUCAAGAGAAACAGGCCUCCUGUCAGUCCUGUUUUAAAUUAUUUAAAAUUCCGAUCCGAUCGAUCGAAGCUGCCAGGAACCAGCUGCCGUUUGUUUCCUGACCGUCUCGAGCACCAGGGCCAGACCGUUCCGAGCCAUCAUAGCCAGCAGUGUAAAUCCGGAUGGCGCUAAGAUGUUCACGACUGGUUUGGUGGAUGAAGAGGACGACGUCGCGUCAAAGGAACCAGGAUUUCACCGCAGCUAGCAAAAGAUUAGUGACAGGGACGGAUUCUUAGCUGCCACCUGGCAGGAUUGUGGAUUGAAAGACUACACACUGGACAGAAGAACUGACUAUUAAAUGCAUUGACGACUCAGGGGACAAACAAGUGAAAAUGUGCCAUUAGUCAGACAGCAUCAGUGAACAGCAUCAUCGAGCCGAGCAACAAAAAUACUUAAAUCGUUUGGUGUCAUGUUGUGUUUCUGGUGAUUGAUGUCGUAGAACCACGUCUACAACAUGAUCACGGCGGACGCUGCGUAUAUUGCUGGCAGGCAGUGCAGCGAGCAACUCAACGACCCUUUGACUAAGUCCUUCUGCCUAAGAGAUCAGAAGUUUCAAGUUCAACUAAAGAUUUGCCCUAAGGAUGAACGCCUAUUUAAGACAUCGUUGACGUCAAGACACUGCUUGGAUUGGUCACAUGAUCACAAUUGUUGAGCUGCUUUUCUCCGACCGAUUGUCCAAGAUGUCUCAACUUGGGAAUAGUUUUGGUGAGUCUAUUUAUAAAGAUUAUCUUCUUCAGAAGUGUUCAUUUAUAGUAGAAACUAGCAUUUUGUCCAAAACUAAUUUCUAAUGUUAAAUACUCCGUUGAAUUUAGAAUCCGAUACACAAUAUUUUCAAAUAUUUUUCAAGCCUUGCAGUCAUUCAACUCAAAUAAAAGCACUUAAAUUCCUAACUUAAUUUUUGAUUACGAUCACUUCAAUCGAUUUUUG
Molecule: long non-coding RNA, 976 nt
Organism: Culex pipiens pallens (northern house mosquito)
Lineage: Eukaryota; Metazoa; Arthropoda; Insecta; Diptera; Culicidae
Exons: 4
Source: RefSeq, a predicted model, not a curated record